GCGAGACGCUGACCUUAUCUGCUUUUGCAUUGCUUUACUUUGAAAGUCCUACCGUGAUUCCACAGAAUCCAUGGCACCAGUUUAUGAGCAUGUCAUCCCCUGCCGUCCUCUUUACUAGCCUUCUUGUUAUCGGGGAAAUAACCUCUUCUUUGAAGCAUAGCGUAAUGGGGCUUCGAUGGUCCUAGGGUGUUGGUGCAUGAAGGGAAGUGCCGGGUGGAUGAUGUCUGAAAGCUCCCAAUAUGCCUCAAAGUAUGUACACGAUCUCCAUGAAUGCUUCUAGAGGGCAUUCGGAUGUAGCUUACCACACCCCGACGCCUAUGUCGCAUCCAUCAUAAGUACAUGAGGGACUUCAGCCUCGCUGGAUGCUAGGUGGCAACAAAAGUUUGAUUCAACAUAUUAUAUGAAAAAUUUUAGCGCACAGUCGAAACUGAAAAUUUCGC
Molecule: long non-coding RNA, 440 nt
Filed under: Physcomitrium patens
Lineage: Eukaryota; Viridiplantae; Streptophyta; Bryopsida; Funariales; Funariaceae
Description: long non-coding RNA (PPAT_LNC000495)
Source: RNAcentral